Amblyraja radiata (thorny skate) is the source of this 1515-nucleotide long non-coding RNA. RefSeq lists it as uncharacterized. The record is from RefSeq and is a predicted model, not a curated record. The transcript is spliced from 2 exons. Lineage: Eukaryota; Metazoa; Chordata; Chondrichthyes; Rajiformes; Rajidae.
UUUGUGUCUAUCUCAAGACAUCUUAGAUGUACAAUGAAUUACCACUCAAUGCAAACAAAAACUAGGAUUGAAGGAGCAUGGUUUUAUACUCAAACAUGGGAUAUGUCAAAUUCUCAAUCUUCUGUCAUUGCCUUGUUCAGUCAUGUGCUCUCAUUGCCAGUUUAUAGCUGAUCUGCAUUACUAAACUAUAAUAGAUAAUGUCGAGAAAAUGCUUAACAUCUGAAAAACAAAGAUCCUCCCUGCCCCUGCUGAACAAUACCACUAAUUGAAAAUAAAUGUUCAUGAUGACCCUAGGAAUUCUUCUGACAUCUCGAAAGUUACCCCUUAACGAAGGCAUUCGUCAAUGAUAAUAUUCACAGUUACCUUCAAUGUGCUGGUUUAGACAGCCAUUUUUGGAAAAAUGUGUUUGAAGAUCAUGAUCUCAAACCAGGCAAAAGUUAUCCCCUUUUUCUCCUUCUUACUUCAUCUAGAGAGCAAGAGUGUUUAAUUGUCGUAUAUACCGUCAACUGAAUAAUGAAAUUAUUACUUGCAGCAACAUAACAGACCUGUAAAACAAUACACAUGAAUAAAAUACCUCAAAGCACUGGAGAUAUAUCACAUGCUUCUUUGCAAAACCUUCCAAAUUGAUUAGCAGGACAUGAGUAACGUCAGCACCAUUUCCCAGGCCAACACCCCUAGCUUUGAGACUCUAAUUACAUUAAUUUGAAUCCAAUGGAGGGAUACAGCAUUUAUAAAGCACCUGUAAUGUGUGAAACAUCCCAUGGCACUUUUGUGGAACAUUGUUGAAAAGGAUACAAGUAGAUACUAUAUCAACUGAGCUAAACAUUUUAAAAUCAAAAACAGAUUCGAAAGGGGAAUUUUAAAUGUAAAAAAAAUGAGUGAGAGAGGCAGAUAUGGGGUGGGAACCAUAUAGCUUAAGACUUCGGGAGUUAAAGACACGUCAGCAAUGGUAAAGGAAGUUAAUCUCUGGAAGAAAAACAAAUUACUACAUCAACUGACCACUUUUAAAGUAUUUAUCACAAAUUCCAGCCAUAACUGCCAUCAGGUCUGUUAUCAGAUAAUGCAUAAUAUCUUGAUUACAUCAAUUAACUUUUUUAAAGUUUACAACAGGGAGAGUUUUUCAAGAUACAGAUCUAGUACUUGCAAUAUAGAAAAAAAAGAAUAAUUUUACUCACAAUGGGCAUUCUUUAAUAUAUUGUUGAAAUGUUUAAUUAAAGAGAGAGUAUGCUUCAUGCUCAAUAUCUGCCAAACAAAGGGCCUUUUAACUUUUGAUUCAUUUUACUACUCAAAAGAUAUUUAUAAUAUUGGAUCUGAAUGGAUUUAGUUUGCAACUUUAAAAUCUGUCGAACAUAGUUUUUGUUUCACAAUCAUACAGAUUUAGUAUAUAGCUGGAAAUACACUGGGGAGAUGUUUGCUGAGCAAAGCACCUCGGAAAAGCAGCCAACAAAAUCGAAGACGUCCCACCCCAAGUCGUUCCUUCUACUCUCUGAUCGCAUCCAACAGAAGGUACAAAUG